RNAcentral lists this ribosomal RNA (275 nucleotides) under uncultured prokaryote. Its description in RNAcentral is "partial 16S ribosomal RNA". It matches the Rfam family "Bacterial small subunit ribosomal RNA", at positions 524 to 798 of the family's 1533-position model. The record is from RNAcentral.
UACGAGGGCCCCAAGCAUUAUCCGGAUUUAUUGGGCGUAAAGCGUCCGUAGACGGUUUGUCGCAUCUCCUGUUAAAUCCUCUGGCUCAACCAGGGGGCUGCGGGAGAGAUGGAUAAACUAGAGACUGGAAGAGGCAAUCGGAAUUGCUGGUGUAGGGGUUAAAUCCGUUAAUAUCAGCAGGAACACUCAAUGCGAAGGCAAAUUGCUGGGACAGUUCUGACGUUCAGGGACGAAAGCGUUGGGAGCGAAUGGGAUUAGAUACCCGUGUAGUCCCU